UGCAUCCUAUUCAUACCUUUCUUUACUUUAUCUUUAUGCACUAGUUAUCUCAAUAGUUUAUAAUUUAGACUUAGCUUUUGCAGGAUUAGUAGCUUGCUAUAAGUUUGGGUUCUUCUUUCCGUGAGGUGGGCAGUGAGUUGCUAAGGGGAUGGUGAUGAUGAUUUGGCAGCGGAUGUCCAUUCUCCUAGUGAUAACCGUGUAUCAUCCAAUGACAGACAUUAGACGACAAUGACGUAGACAGUGGGCCUUAUUUUGGAGUAACUACCUGGACAUUUUGAUAUUUAUAAUAAAGUUUCAAACUUUGAUCUAUAUAUGUCAUAGUUGGAAACUUUAUCAUAAAAUUCUAGACACUUGGGAUGUAUUAUUUUGAGUAUAAUAAUCUAGAUAUUUGGGAUGUAAUUAUUAAUAUGGUGUAAUUAAAUAUAUUUGGUUUGCUAGUUUAAAGUGAUA
Long non-coding RNA from Quercus robur (English oak), 450 nucleotides. RefSeq lists it as uncharacterized. The record is from RefSeq and is a predicted model, not a curated record. The transcript is spliced from 2 exons. NCBI's taxonomy places the organism in Eukaryota, Viridiplantae, Streptophyta, Magnoliopsida, Fagales, Fagaceae.